GCCCUGAGUCCUGACUGCAAGGAGACAGAGUUAAGCCCUGAGUCCUGACUAUCAGGGCUUAACCCUUUCUCCUUGCAGUCAGAAUUCAGGGU
Xyrichtys novacula (pearly razorfish) is the source of this 92-nucleotide non-coding RNA. The record is from the annotation of a GenBank genome assembly. Lineage: Eukaryota; Metazoa; Chordata; Actinopteri; Labriformes; Labridae.